This 253-nucleotide ribosomal RNA is filed under the name uncultured bacterium. RNAcentral's name for it is "partial 16S ribosomal RNA". It matches the Rfam family "Bacterial small subunit ribosomal RNA", at positions 524 to 776 of the family's 1533-position model. The record is from RNAcentral.
UACGUAGGGGGCAAGCGUUGUCCGGAUUUAUUGGGCGUAAAGCGCACGCAGGCGGUCUCUUAAGUUUCGAGUGACAGGUCAGGGCUUAACCCUGGCAGGCCUUGGAAAACUGGGGGACUUGAGGGCUUCAGAGGGACGCGGAAUUCCAGGUGGAGCGGUGAAAUGCGUAGAGAUCUGGAAGAACACCCGUGGCUAAGGCGGCUCUCUAGUACGGUACUGACGCUGAGACGCGAAAGCGUGGGGAGCGAACAGG